Molecule: ribosomal RNA, 328 nt
Filed under: uncultured eukaryote
Lineage: Eukaryota
Description: partial 18S ribosomal RNA
Rfam family: Eukaryotic small subunit ribosomal RNA
Source: RNAcentral
CCCUUAGAUGUUCUGGGCUGCACGCGCGCUACACUGAUGCGCUCAACGAGUUUUAACCUUGCCUGGAAAGGUUGGGUAAUCUUUUUAAAACGCAUCGUGAUGGGGAUAGAUUAUUGCAAUUAUUAAUCUUCAACGAGGACUGCCUAGUAAGCGCAAGUCAUCAGCUUGCGUUGAUUACGUCCCUGCCCUUUGUACACACCGCCCGUCGCUCCUACCGAUUGAAUGGUCCGGUGAAGCGUUUGGACUAUGGUUUUCUGAUGGUCCGCCGUUGGAUUACCGUGGGAAGUUCGUUAAACCUUAUCAUUUAGAGGAAGGAGAAGUCGUAACA